GGGGGUGCAAAGGUUUCGACGGGGAUUGGAAGCGCUGGUUGCAUGCCGGAGUGGGCUGGCUCCGAUAAAAAGCCCAACACAUACAAACGCCGAUACUGACGUUCGUUACGCACUGGCCGCUUAAUUAAGCGACCGCGUCUUUAGUUUCAUCGCCCGUGUGGGCUUUAGACGUUAAUUAGCGGGAUAGUUUCAGGGAGUGUCUGUGACCCUGUUGCGAAACUUAAGCAGGCUCCCCCAUCUAAUAUCCUGUUCGUGGGAGAUUUUAUGGGUUAAGCAAUACACGAACUAUGCAUGUAGACGCCUGACGUGAAAAGUUUUCGGACGGGGGUUCGAUUCCCCCCACCUCCACCA
This 351-nucleotide transfer-messenger RNA is filed under the name Desulfuromonadales bacterium. It matches the Rfam family "transfer-messenger RNA". From Rfam's summary of the family: Bacterial tmRNA, also known as 10Sa RNA or SsrA, is named for its dual tRNA and mRNA-like properties. Its role is to liberate the mRNA from a stalled ribosome. Lineage: Bacteria; Pseudomonadati; Thermodesulfobacteriota; Desulfuromonadia; Desulfuromonadales. The record is from RNAcentral.